GAGACAAGCAAACACACGGCUGUAGCUGUACGAGACAAGCACGUCACUGCACCGCAACAACCAGGUACGCUGUCCAACGGGAGCUGCGUUUGGUGGCAUUUAAGGCUCUGGAUACAGGGGAAGAGAAGUGAUGCUCAAGGCAUGAACAGGGAAGAAAUGAAACUGUGACAGCUCUGAAUGAAUAAGCAGGCUGUGUAUUUUAAAAGGGAAAAUUGAAAUGCCUGCGAAAUGUCCACACUCACCUGGAGGGAAACUUGCCAGUUCUUGCAAGCCUGGAUUUAUUUAGGGGUGAUGUUGAGGAUUUGCAGGGGUUUCGGUUUUUUUUAGAAAUGGGGCAGUGUGGCUUGCUACCAGUUUGCUAAGAGAUCACAGAAAACAUGAGAAACCAGCGGGGCCUGUGCAGCUGCUCUGUUCCCUCUGAUGCUGGCUGCACUGCUCCCAUGAUAUAAGCAAAGUCAACCCCGCCAGCGCUGCUUUUCAGUUUAAAGCUAAGUGUAUCUACUUCAGACCUUGCUGGGACAAAUUUUUUUGGCAUGAACAAGGCUUUCCCCACCAUCUUAAUGGAGAGCAGACUUGCUUUACAAAUGUUUUCAGGCAGAGCUAGCCAGGGUGGAUGGUGGAUCCUGUCGGUUGGCCUCGGAGAAGUGCCUGCAGCUUCUGCUGCUGGGUUUCCCUUUCCUCCUCUCCCCCCCCUUGUUGAAUGUUCCUGGCAGUUUUUAGCUGUGAUAAAAAGCUCAGAGGAAAUGACAAGAGCUGGAAAUAAUCUUGCUUUCAGCCUAAAACACGGGAAAGGGAAAGGUACUUGGAUUUUCACAACCUUCCCUCCUGUCGUCACACGCUCCUGGCUCCUCUACGGCAGGUGGGAUGUGAGGGGCCAUAGCAGCCUUUGCAGACAAUAUUUCUGGUCACUGAGUAUGAUGCCAAGUUGCAAUCCAAAAAGAAACCUGAAAAACACUUAUCUUUUACAAAGUUGCAUUUUGGGUUUUUUUUAAUAUUCCCUUAAAAUGGCAGCCCUGGUUUAAAUUUUGUGAACUGAGAAGUGGGGAGGAGGGGUCUGGUUUUUAAUUAGAAAAUGUCAAAAACAUGUUUGGACAAUUUUAAUUUACUUUUUCUACUCAGGUACAACCUGAGGCUUUUAAUUGCUUUUUAAAAUUGCCUCACUGUUCUGGAAUAACACUUAUUUCAACAAAAAAUACAAAGUCAGUCUGGUGAGAGGGUCCAGCCUACAAACAGGCUCAGGCUCUUUAGCUGCCCAGUGUGAUGCAGUGGGAUGAGGCCCUGGAGCCAGCACCCAGCAAAAGCUACAGGCUGGGAUGCAUUGCUCCUCCACGGUGCUCGGCCACAGCCUCAGCUCACCGGGGUGAUGUGGGAGACCUGGGGAGACGUGGUCAGGGGCUGCAGGAGAGGAGCGGCACGCAGGUGUCUGCACAAGUUUAGGUUGCCACAGAAGAGGUCCCAGCCCAAGAACCGUGGCUGGAGGAGAGGAGAAACCUGGACCCACCACCAGGACAACUUCACAGACAUUCUAGAAAGAUUUAUUUGGCAUCACAUAUGAAUCCAGGUAAAGCUGUAGGAUCAUGGACAUGCCCGUCUCUAGGAGCAACAGUUCCAACUGAAGUGGGCAACUCUCCCAGACCUUUAUUUUGGGAAAAGAAUAUCCUGGAUGUCCCUUUCCAGCUAAGAAAGCCUAUUUAUGAUGAUCACAAAGAAAAGAUCACAACAAAUCCUGGCAAAAAAGAGGAAGCAAGAAGAGCAA
Harpia harpyja (harpy eagle) is the source of this 1756-nucleotide long non-coding RNA. RefSeq lists it as uncharacterized. The transcript is spliced from 3 exons. NCBI's taxonomy places the organism in Eukaryota, Metazoa, Chordata, Aves, Accipitriformes, Accipitridae. The record is from RefSeq and is a predicted model, not a curated record.